This 413-nucleotide ribosomal RNA is filed under the name uncultured prokaryote. RNAcentral describes it as "bacterial SSU rRNA". It matches the Rfam family "Bacterial small subunit ribosomal RNA", at positions 355 to 785 of the family's 1533-position model. The record is from RNAcentral.
UGGGGAAUAUUGGACAAUGCGGGAAACCGUGAUCCAGCAAUGCCGCGUGAGUGAUGAAGGCCUUAGGGUUGUAAAGCUCUUUUACCAGGGAUGAUAAUGACAGUACCUGGAGAAUAAGCUCCGGCUAACUUCGUGCCAGCAGCCGCGGUAAUACGGAGGGAGCUAGCGUUGUUCGGAAUUACUGGGCGUAAAGCGCGCGUAGGCGGCUAUCCAAGUCAGGGGUGAAAUCCCGGGGCUCAACCCCGGAACUGCCCUUGAAACUAGGUAGCUAGAAUACUGGAGAGGUGAGUGGAAUUCCGAGUGUAGAGGUGAAAUUCGUAGAUAUCGGGAGGAACAUCAGUGGCGAAGGCGGCCACCUGGACAUUCACUGACGCUGAGACGCGAAAGCGUGGGGAGCAAACAGGAUUAGAUAC